GUGCUCACUUUGGCAGGAUACAUUCUGAAUCUGGAAUGAUACCGAGAAGAUUAGGAUGGCCCUUGAGCAAGGAUGGCAAGCAAAGUCAUGAAGUGUUACAUAUUUCA
Molecule: small nuclear RNA, 107 nt
Organism: Gracilinanus agilis (Agile Gracile Mouse Opossum)
Lineage: Eukaryota; Metazoa; Chordata; Mammalia; Didelphimorphia; Didelphidae
Source: RefSeq, a predicted model, not a curated record